This is a long non-coding RNA of Syzygium oleosum, 311 nucleotides long. RefSeq lists it as uncharacterized. NCBI's taxonomy places the organism in Eukaryota, Viridiplantae, Streptophyta, Magnoliopsida, Myrtales, Myrtaceae. The transcript has 2 exons. The record is from RefSeq and is a predicted model, not a curated record.
AGGCAAUGCCCAGAACUGCAGCUCCCCAGAUGUGGUCCACAAAGUAAGGCAACAGAUCACAGAAAACAUAGACUUGUGGCUGUCUGAAUGCCAAAAUAGUGGUAGGAGCUCUAUCUGAAGUACAUGCUCAUGGUGAACGUGAAUUUGGGAGGACUUGGUGUGAAUCGACAAUUGCAAUAAUUUGCCAUUGCUUUGCCCCUGUAAUUGUUCUGUCAAUUCCUUGACCUGUAAAUAUAGAAUAAAUACUCCAACGAUGUAAAAUGGCUGUAGUAACUCAUUUUGAUUAUAUUCCGGGUCAAUAUGCUUACUUC